CGUCAUGGUGGCUGUGCGCAGGGCACCCUAGGGUGCGCCGGUUUCUAGUGUCCGGUCUGCUAACCUGCGUACAGCUGCCACCCAC
This 85-nucleotide non-coding RNA is filed under the name Pseudomonas chlororaphis. The record is from RNAcentral. Lineage: Bacteria; Pseudomonadati; Pseudomonadota; Gammaproteobacteria; Pseudomonadales; Pseudomonadaceae.